This 564-nucleotide long non-coding RNA is filed under the name Piliocolobus tephrosceles (Ugandan red Colobus). Its description in RNAcentral is "lncRNA (ENSPTEG00000031733.1)". The record is from RNAcentral. Lineage: Eukaryota; Metazoa; Chordata; Mammalia; Primates; Cercopithecidae.
GAGGCUCAGCGAGCUCUUGCUUACCUUCCCAGCACAGCUGCAAGGUCAUAAGAUUGAUAAGUAUAUGUUACAGAGCAUGUAUUCCCAAGGAUGUAAGACAUGAAGUAACAAAUAACUGCCUUUGCUCUCGCUUCUGUAAGUAUGCUUCCUGCAUCACGUAGCUCCGGGCCACUGACUGCUUAAAACGUGGCUGCUUUCUUUGUCCAGGACUCAGACUUUCCUGGACGCUAGUCCAAUUGAGCCAGCCUGCCUGCACCCAGGUGAAGUAAACAGCCUUGUUGCUCACAUAAAGCCUGUUUGGUGGACUCUCUUCACAUGGACGCUCGUGAGAAAUUUGGUGCCAAAGACCCGGGUCAGAGGGACUCUUUCAGGAGACCAGUCUCCUGUCCUCGCCCUCACUCCAUGAAGAGAUCCACCUAUGACCUUGGAUCCUCAGACCAACCAGCCCAAGGAACAUCUCACCAAUUUCAAAUCGGGACCCCACUGGAAAUUGGAUUGUCCAACUGGCCCAAGGCUCUGACUGACUCCUUCCCAGAUCUUCUCUGCUUAGCGGCUGAAGACUGA